ACACCUCAACUCUCAGGCUUGCCAUGAUGAGCUUGGACUUUGGGGGUCUUGCUGGCCUGUGGUCGACUCCUCUCAAAUGAAUCAGCUUGCCGGUGUUUGGUGGGAUCACAGGUGUGAUAACUAUCUACGCUUGUGGUUUUCCACCAGGUAACCCUCAGCAAUGGAGGUUCGCCGGAGCUUAUAAAUGUCUCUCCCCAGCGAGGACAGAUUUUGACC
This 216-nucleotide unclassified non-coding RNA is filed under the name uncultured Tomentella. RNAcentral's name for it is "sequence contains ITS2". The record is from RNAcentral. Lineage: Eukaryota; Fungi; Basidiomycota; Agaricomycetes; Thelephorales; Thelephoraceae.